Molecule: ribosomal RNA, 251 nt
Filed under: uncultured bacterium
Lineage: Bacteria
Description: partial 16S ribosomal RNA
Rfam family: Bacterial small subunit ribosomal RNA
Source: RNAcentral
UCAUCCUACGGGACGCAGCAGUGGGGAAUAUUGCACAAUGGGGGAAACCCUGAUGCAGCGACGCCGCGUGAGUGAAGAAGUAUUUCGGUAUGUAAAGCUCUAUCAGCAGGGAAGAAAAUGACGGUACCUGACUAAGAAGCCCCGGCUAACUACGUGCCAGCAGCCGCGGUAAUACGUAGGGGGCAAGCGUUAUCCGGAUUUACUGGGUGUAAAGGGAGCGUAGACGGAAUUGCAAGUCUGAUGUGAAAAUC